This 400-nucleotide ribosomal RNA is filed under the name uncultured bacterium. RNAcentral describes it as "bacterial SSU rRNA". It matches the Rfam family "Bacterial small subunit ribosomal RNA", at positions 358 to 774 of the family's 1533-position model. The record is from RNAcentral.
GGGAUAUUGGUCAAUGGGCGCAAGCCUGAACCAGCGACGCCGCGUGGGUGAAGAAGGUCUUCGGAUCGUAAAGCCCUUUUCCCACUGAAGAGGAAGGACGGUCGGUGGGGAAGAAGUCUCGGCUAACUACGUGCCAGCAGCCGCGGUAAAACGUAGGAGACAAGCGUUAUCCGGAGUUACUGGGCGUAAAGGGCGUGCAGGUGGCGUCUUAAGUCUGUUGUGAAAGCGCCGGGCUUAACCGGGCGAGGCCAAUGGAGACUGAGAGGCUGGAGGACGGCUGAGGGGUGUGGAAUUCCGGGUGUAGUGGUGAAAUGCGUAGAGAUCCGGAGGAACACCAGAGGCGAAGGCGGCACUCUAAGCCGUACCUGACACUGAGACGCGACAGCACGGGGAGCAAACG